UUUCCCGAAAACCCCCUAGCCCCUCCCAUCCCCGUGCGCCUGGAAUCCAUCGCGGCUCCUCGACUGCCGCCGACAGUCCAUCGCCUCCAUCGCGAGUCCCGCCGCCUGUGGCCCUCCGCUUCCCCGGUGAGGGUGCCGCCGCCCGAGGUGCUCCCCGCCGCCCAUGGCCCUCCACUUCCCCGGUGAGGGCGCCGCCGCCUGAGGUGCUCCCCGCCGCCCCGCCGCCCAUGGCCCUCCGCUUCCUCGGUGAGGGCGCCGCUGCCCGCCGUGCUCCCCGCCGCCCGUGGCCGUCCGCUUCCCCGAUGAGGGCGCCGACGCCCGAGCUCCCGUGUGAUCGACCUGAUCCGCCACAUGCACAACACCAACUAGAUGAGCGAGCUGAGGCUUGGUGAUACAGGGGAGUUGGUGUUUCUCCCCAGAAGAAGAGUGUAGAGAGCCCUCUACCGAGAAUAAAUUUUUUGUAUGGAAUUAUGUCUGAAACUAUAUUGGGUGUAUCCUAGUGGUUGGUUGAGCUGUAAUGGCUCAUGUUUUUGUCUGAAACAGGUCCAGUCAUUUGCUUGUAUUAGGUUACCAAUUCAUGGCUGCUAAAGUGCCUUAACUAUUGCCAGCCUGCGAAAUGUGAACUGGAGCAGUACCUGGAGGACCCUCAGCUUGCCAAACCAGAGUAGUGCUGAUUUUUUUUCUGACACGGCACAGUUACUACUUACUUGCAUGAACAAGACACCAGAACUCAGACUUUGACACCACAUAGUACUCCAGAGCCAGGAACUUGGCAAAACAUACUCGAGGUCCUCUUACCAUUUUAUUCCACAGGACAAAGUGCACACAUGACAGCAUAAAUUGAAACAUGGAAUUAACCAAGGAAGAGAAUCCAUCAGAAGACAAGUAAGCUGAAAGCCUCAAUGUUUGCUCCCAGAUAAAGGAAAAAACAUCAAUUAUCAUGACCUUAGUUCAUCUUAUUAAUUUAAGACUUGGUUUCAUGGUGCAAACAAGACAUUGGAGAGUUUGGAGUACUUAUUAAUAGCUGUGUUCUCUUUUAUCAA
Long non-coding RNA from Setaria italica (foxtail millet), 1043 nucleotides. RefSeq lists it as uncharacterized. Lineage: Eukaryota; Viridiplantae; Streptophyta; Magnoliopsida; Poales; Poaceae. The transcript has 2 exons. The record is from RefSeq and is a predicted model, not a curated record.